UCCAGUUCCUUGUUCAAAAUGCCAAGAACCUGGAUGACUCAUAGUCAAGACCCUCCACCAGUAACAUAUAUUGGCGAGCCAGCCAGGAGACCACUACAGGAAACACUCCAUUUAUUCCACCUGACUUCCCACUUGGCUGCAUCCUCAACCAUUGAAAUGAAUUUGACCCUGAUAAUCUAAGGAGGAAACAUUUGAUAUUCUUUUGCAAUAAUACUUGGCCCCAGUAUUGUUUGGAAUCUGGAGUUUGCUGUUGAAUGGGAAAGCAGGAUGACGUUGCAUGUAUCCAGGCUUUGGUGCUGCUGUCCUAAGAAGGGUCAGGCCUAGUCAGCAUAUGGUGCUCUCCUUUGGUGCUAUUUGGCUCCAGUGUCUUUGGAGUCUGAGGAGGUUUGGCCUUUAAAAAUCAAACUGCCACCGGAACUGCUUUAAAAAUGUUUGGUUCACAGCCUUCACUGGAUUACCUAUUGGAGCAAACAAAGUGUAACCAUGUAAAACCUGUGAGCUUGUAUUGAUAUCUCA
RNAcentral lists this long non-coding RNA (516 nucleotides) under Homo sapiens (human). RNAcentral's name for it is "non-protein coding lnc-GGCT-1:30". Lineage: Eukaryota; Metazoa; Chordata; Mammalia; Primates; Hominidae. The record is from RNAcentral.